UAGUAAAAUCCGGGAUAGUAUAGCCUUCUAAGCUAACCCUGAAAAGUUCGACUCUUUUCUUUACAAU
Molecule: transfer RNA, 67 nt
Filed under: Marphysa tamurai
Lineage: Eukaryota; Metazoa; Annelida; Polychaeta; Eunicida; Eunicidae
Also listed under: 1 other name
Description: tRNA-Arg
Source: RNAcentral